ACGGGAGGCAGCAGUGAGGAAUAUUGGUCAAUGGACGGAAGUCUGAACCAGCCAAGUCGCGUGCGGGAUGAAGGCCCUACGGGUCGUAAACCGCUUUUGUACGGGGAUAAAGUCACCCACGUGUGGGUGUUUGUAGGUACCGUAAGAAUAAGGAUCGGCUAACUCCGUGCCAGCAGCCGCGGUAAUACGGAGGAUCCGAGCGUUAUCCGGAUUUAUUGGGUUUAAAGGGUGCGCAGGCGGGAUGUCAAGUCAGUGGUGAAAUGGUGCGGCUCAACCGUAGCAUUGCCGUUGAAACUGGCGUCCUUGAGUGCGAAUGAGGUACGCGGAACGUGUCAUGUAGCGGUGAAAUGCAUAGAUAUGACACAGAACACCGAUUGCGAAGGCAGCGUACUGGGACGCGACUGACGCUGAGGCACGAAAGUGCGGGGAUCGAACAGGAUUAGAUACCCUGGUA
Molecule: ribosomal RNA, 454 nt
Filed under: uncultured Porphyromonadaceae bacterium
Lineage: Bacteria; Pseudomonadati; Bacteroidota; Bacteroidia; Bacteroidales; Porphyromonadaceae
Description: bacterial SSU rRNA
Rfam family: Bacterial small subunit ribosomal RNA
Source: RNAcentral